RNAcentral lists this long non-coding RNA (3202 nucleotides) under Marmota monax (woodchuck). The record is from RNAcentral. Lineage: Eukaryota; Metazoa; Chordata; Mammalia; Rodentia; Sciuridae.
GUGUGUCUGAGUUGGCAGGUUUCCCUGUGAAACAUUUCAAUGUUAUGUCAGAAGAAGAAACAUAUUUUAAAGUAAAAUAUCUAAAUAUCUUCCCAAACACAAUUUUAGUUAAUUAAUGAAGGGAUUUCAUUAAUUAACUAAAAUUUCAUUAAAAUGAAAAUUGUCAAGGAUCUCAUGAGAUUAGUCUUACAAAUUGGUUAAAACUCUUAAGAGCUAAAAGCUUUUCAACUAGCUUCUAAUUUUCCUCAUCAACUGUUUUAUAGAGUUAAUAUUAUUGUCCACAUAUUGCUUGGAGCAAAAAAAUUGGCAUGAGUAUCUCACUGGUGUCCUGCCUUGUAAGCAGGUUACUUUGGAAUCCAGGUUGAUUUCUCUAAGGACCUGGCUAAUCUAUGUAAUUGACGUCAGUGUAGUGGCAGAACACAUGCACAAGCAUUUACAGAUUGAUGAAUGUGCACGAAUGGAAACUACCUGCUGCCAUUUUUCCAGUAGGAAGUGAAAAUCUGCAUGUUGAAUAAUGCAUUAAACAUUUAAAUGCUGGGGCUGUGGCUCAGGCUCAGCGCUUGCCUAGCAUUCAUGAAGCACUGGGUUCAAGCCUCAGAACCAUGUAAAAAUAAAACAAAGCCAUUCUGUCCAUCUACAACUAGAAAAAAUUUUUAAAAAAAUUUUAAAGUCAAACUGUAUGCUUCCUUUAUAUGACCUUCUUUUAAAUGAUGGUUUCUCUAAAAAUUAUUUAGUAAAUACAUAAUGAUGAAAAUGUUCAAAUUAUUAUUAUCCCUCUUAAAAUGUUUACCUUUUCCUUCAAGGGACUUGAGUGCCCUCUGCAGGUUAUAAAGAGAUAAUUAAUGACUAUGUCUAUUUUUGAGCCUGUGAUUUUUUUCCCUUUCAAAAUUGCAGAGCCCAUUAUGUCUAAUCUCAAAGCAAGCAUGAUCCAAUUUAUAUUGUUAACCCUUAAUUUGCCAGUGAUUGAAGGAGGAGUUUCUUUUCUGUACAUGUUUUGUUGUGUUUAGUGUAAAUGUGAUUCUUGUGAGCUUUCCAUGUCACUUAACUAGGGUCCUAUAAAUAUUUGAUGAUAACACAUUCUCUCACAGAAAGAAGAUUGGGAAAACAUUUAGGUACUUUGAAAUGUUUUAAAGAUUUUGAGGCUAGUUUAUUUCUUGUUGCAUUUGGAAUAGUGUACAUUGGAAUAAGCCUUGCUUUGUCCACAUGCAUCAUGUAAAAUUAUGUGAGACUUCAGUUUCUUGAUUGGGUUUAUGAGUGAUGUUUGUGUUCAGGCUUAAAAAAACAUCUUAAAAUAUCUUAUUUUUUUAAAAGGAUUGAACAGAUAGCACUUCAAUAUUAUUGUUGGUAUUAUUGUCCACCAACUAGAAAGAAUAUUUAUAUUUGAAGAGCAAAAAGCAACAUUUUCAUCGCCAUAGUGUGGAAGUACCUGAGUCAUUCAUGUCUGUGAAACCCAUACUUUCUCAAUGGGAGUAGCAGAUUUGUUUCUAAAGGACAUAGAAAUUCAUUUGUAUAUGAAACUAGAACUGGAGUGCUGGUGGCACUUCUGAUUCAAUUAACUUACUUGGUGAAGCUGCCAGGGAAACUAAAUAUGAUGAGAACAAGAGGAAUGACUGGAUCAAAUUAAUAGAAAUAGAUCUUUUUGCAAGCAGCGUAAUGAUUCUGAUCAUCAACCUUGAAAAGUAAAUUAGAACAAGCAAAUUACUGUUGAAAAAUUCUUUUAGCACUCUGCUGUUGCUACACAGCUAGUCAUGGCUCAGCCUGGGGCAGGGAAAAAAUGCACUCAGUUUUGGUUGACAAAGGAAACAUUAUUAAAGUGAGUGUUUACAUUGUGUUUAUUGAAGUGUUCAAAGAAUAUUUGUGGCAUCUUCAAGCAACCUGCUGCUCUCCAGACUAUGAUAGUGCAUGAGUAAUAAUAAAAAUGAGUCACUUGUACACUUUAAAUAAGUGCCUUAAACUUGUUUUUCAACUAUCUCCAAAAUAUUUUAAGUUUCAAACUAAAUAGUGCUUUCUCUUCUAAAGAUUUUUUUUUAAUUUUUUUAAUUUUUUUUUUUUUAGUUUUCGGCGGACACAACAUCUUUGUUUGUAUGUGGUGCAGAGGAUCGAUCCUGGGCCGCAUGCAUGCCAGGCGAGAGCGUUACCACUUGAGCCAUAUCCCCAGCCCCUCUAAAGAUUUUUUUUCUCUAGAAAUUGAACCAAUUUUUUAAAAACAUUCAUUUCUUUGAAUUUUUCUUGAAUAUACCUUCCAGUUACUUCUACAUCCUUUGUGUAACUUUCCUCCCAGGAUCUACAAUGCAUAAGAAAUAAUCCUAUUCCUUAAUAUGCUAAGAAUCACAAAAACUAAAAGCAAUUGUGAAAUUACUGACUAGUGUCCAAUUGAGUAUAUAAUAUGUGCAUUAAAAAGAUAUCUGAUUAGGGUCAUAACUUUUGAGAGCUACAAUUACCUUAAUCUACCUCAAAAAGAUUAAAUUGAGAGUGGAAAAGAUAGUUACUAACAAGCCUGCCCAUCUGACAUUUAAAAGCUUUUUUUUAAAUAUAUAUAUAUAUAUAUAUAUAUACAUAUAUAUAUAUAUAUAUAUAUUUAGUUUUCGGUGGACACAACAUCUUUAUUUCAUUUUUAUGUGGUGCUGAGGAUCGAACCCGGGCCACACGCAUGCCAGGCGGGCGUGCUACCACUUGAGGCACAUCCCCAGCCCUUAAAAGUUUAAUAGAUCUUUAUUAUUUAUACUGAGAAAACAGGAAAGUAAUUAAAAACCUAGAAAGAAUUUUAGUUUUUAUCUUUCUAAAGAGAUCCAUUGAAAUCAUUUUUAUAUUUUAGAAAUAGUAGAAGCGUGGUACUUAACAGGAAUUAAAGUACUUUAUUUUUAUUGACCAGCAGCCCCCAGUACAAAAAAAAUUAAUCUCAGGUAUUAUUGAAUAUAAGUGUUCUGAAUUCCCUUAUGAACUAAUUUUUGAGAAACUAUUUUCUUGUAUUCACCAUGGGACAAGUUGUCAGUCUUCUUUAUUUCAACUGCUUAUCACAGUUACCAAAGAUUAUCCCACACUAUAAAUUCUUAAGAACUUCCUAAUCAGAUAUUUAAGUAUAUGCCAUUUCUAUAAUGUAAUUUCAGGGCAUCUUAUAUUUAUUAUUUUGAUGUCCAGAAUCAAUAAAAAAUAUUUCUUUAUCCAUAAUCAUCUAAGAAAAAUCUUUUUUGAAUCUAAAAGU